UACAGAGGGGGCAAGCGUUGUUCGGAAUUACUGGGCGUAAAGGGCGCGUAGGCGGCCUUCUAAGUCGAACGUGAAAUCCCCGGGCUCAACCCGGGAACUGCGUCCGAUACUGGAAGGCUUGAAUCCGGGAGAGGGAUGUGGAAUUCCAGGUGUAGCGGUGAAAUGCGUAGAUAUCUGGAGGAAUACCGGUGGCGAAGGCGGCAUCCUGGACCGACAUUGACGCUGGACGGCGAAAGCUAGGGGAGCGAAUGGG
RNAcentral lists this ribosomal RNA (253 nucleotides) under uncultured bacterium. Its description in RNAcentral is "partial 16S ribosomal RNA". It matches the Rfam family "Bacterial small subunit ribosomal RNA", at positions 524 to 776 of the family's 1533-position model. The record is from RNAcentral.